This 1519-nucleotide long non-coding RNA is filed under the name Callithrix jacchus (white-tufted-ear marmoset). RNAcentral's name for it is "lncRNA (ENSCJAG00000073264.1)". The record is from RNAcentral. Lineage: Eukaryota; Metazoa; Chordata; Mammalia; Primates; Cebidae.
CAUGGUUACUUGAUUUCAUUUUGAUAGUGAGUCUUCCAGGGUAAGAACAAAUUAUGCUUUUAAAUCUAUUCACAUCUUCUUUCUUGUAACUUCACAGAAUCUAACAAUUAACAUAAUAUAAUCUUGAACAUUUCUUGUUAUUUCUACAUAUGAUAGCUACUAUUUAAACAGGGUCUUUUCCAACUGAUUUUGUUUGUAUGCAGGAUAUUUAUUUAGUUAGUUUAUUUAUUUGCAAUGUAGCCUCACUCUGGCCCAGUCUGGAGUGCAGUUGCAUGGUAAUGUUGCUAUUUCUAAGAAACUGCCAAGCUUUUUGCCUGAGUGGCUGUAUUAGCUUCAUUCCUUCCAGCAUUGUGUGCAUAACGCAGGCUUUCCGUAUGUUGCCAGCACUUGCACUGUGACUAUGUUUAGUCACUUUGACAGGAAUGACGGGUGAUUUGUGUUCAGUUUGUUCUCUUUGUGGAUCUUAAAACAAUCAGCUUUUUAAUUAUUUUGGGUUUUAUUAAGUAAAUAUGCAUUUAAUAUGUAGACUGUGAUGUUUUGACGUACACAUACAUGUGAAAUGUUUAAACUGAUUAAUUUCUGUCACCUCACAUAGUUACCUCUUGAUUGUUGUCAUUGUGAUAAUACCUAAGAUCUAUUCUCUUAGUAAUUUCAAAUAAACAAAUAUAUUAUUAUUAACUGUGGUCACCAGGCUUGAUAUGAGGUCUCCAACACUUAUUUAUCUUUUCAUUUAAACUUAUACUCUGUGACCUCCCCAUUUCCUCCACCUCUGGGCCACUAGUAAUCACCCUUUUACUCUCUGUUUCCAUGAGUUCAGCUUUGUUAGAGCCCACAGGUAAGAGGGAUCAUGUAGAAUUUGUCUUUCUGUGUCAGGCUUAUUUUAUUUAGCAUAAUGCCCUCCAGAUUCAUCCAUGUCAUCAAAAAUGACAGGAUUUUCUUCUUUCUAAAGACUGAAAAAUUCUCUCCCUCUCACCCCACCACGUGUGUACGUGUGUGUGCUCCUGUUUGUUUAUUCAUCUGUCAGUGGACACUUGCUUUCUUUUUGCAUCUUGGCUAUUGGGGAUAAUGUGACAGUGAACACGGAAUGCACAUAUCUCUUUGAAAUAGUGAUUCUUCCCUCCUUUGAAUAUAUAUCCAGGAAUGGGAUGGCUGGAUAAUAUAGUAAUUCUGUUUUUAAGGAACCUCCAAACUGUUUUUCAUAGUGGCUAUGCCCAUUUAUAGUUGCCACAGUAGUGUAUAAGGUUACCUUUUCUCCAUAUCCUCAGCAAUACUUUUGUUUUUUUCUUGGUAGUAGCCGCCCUAACAGAUGGGACGUGAUAUCUCAUUGUGGUUUUCAUUUUCAUUGCUUUGGCAUUAGUAAUGUUGAGCAUUUUUUCAUAUCCCGUUGGUCAUUUGUAUUAUCUUUUUUGGAAAAACGUCUAUUCAAGAUCUUUGUCCAGUUUUAGACCAGGUUAUUUAUUUUUGUGCUAAGGAGUCAUCUGAGUUUCUUACAUAUUUUUGAUAUAACCACUUAUUUUGU